CUCAUGUACCCCAUCUCCGCAGAGCGAGGGGGGCAUGCGGGGCCAGGGCUCAUCAAGAGACGGACGGAGCUGCUGGCAGAUGCUGUUGCUGUGUCUGAAGGAGCUUUCAUUCAGACUGCAAAAAGAAUUCUGAAAAAAAGUUGGCAAGAGAAGAACAGAAGAAAUCAAUGCAUGUGUGAGCUAGCGAGAGAGGCUAUGGGCUGUAAAGGGCGAAUCCUGGGCCCACCGAAGUCAACUGGAGAUUUGCUAUGCAUUUCCUGGGAAUCAAGAGCUGAUCUUUGUAAUGAAUGCAAUGUAUGUACAAUUUAUCUUAGACUGGAUUUGUUUUCAAUAACUGAUUUGGACGCUCUCUGUACCUUCAGUUAUUUGGUAAUCUUGUUUGCAUGCACCAUUUGUAUAGUGUUAUCAUAAAAAAGCACCAUGUUAAAGGAGAGUUCUCUCUCAUACUUAUUUUCUAUUUACAUAAUGAUUUGUAAAAUGUUUAUUUUGGAGAUCUAAAUUAAAGUUGACAGCAUCCCCCUAAAUCAACAGAAAAUGUAGGUUUUUAGCCUUCAAAAUGAAAGUUAUUUAUCUAGCCAGAUCAACUCUGAGGCUGACAUUCCAUUAUCUAGAUUGAUAAAAACGUGAAAAA
This is a long non-coding RNA of Caretta caretta (loggerhead turtle), 631 nucleotides long. RefSeq lists it as uncharacterized. The record is from RefSeq and is a predicted model, not a curated record. NCBI's taxonomy places the organism in Eukaryota, Metazoa, Chordata, Testudines, Cheloniidae.